AUCUAGCCCCGAUAGAAGUGGAAAUCCCUUUGUGUUUUGUUUCUUUAACGAGACACAAAAGAUUGCAACGGAUAGCGGGACUAAAC
Molecule: small RNA, 86 nt
Filed under: Flavobacterium anhuiense
Lineage: Bacteria; Pseudomonadati; Bacteroidota; Flavobacteriia; Flavobacteriales; Flavobacteriaceae
Description: Flavo-1 RNA
Rfam family: Flavo-1 RNA
Source: RNAcentral